UACUAUAUUGUCUGCCCAAUGAUUAUUUUAAAUGGCCGCACAUGUGCUAAGGUAGCAUAAUAAUUAGUUUUUUAAUUGAAAAAUGGAAUGAAAGAUACCACCAAGGAUAAGUAUGGUUCUUUUGCAGACGAAUUUUUAUUUUUAGUGAAAAUACUAAACAAUUUUAUUUAGACAAAAAGACCCUAUGAAGCUGCUAAAUUAUAAAAUAAUUAGAACAUACAGAUAAAUUUGUUUUUUGGGGUAAAAUAUAAAAAUUGUAUUUUUAUGCACAUAUUAGAAAACCUUAGCCUAUAGGAAUAUUGACAAAGCUCCUCUAGGGAUAACAGCAUUAUGCCCGUAAGAGUUCUUAUCAGAACGGGCGUUUG
This 365-nucleotide ribosomal RNA is filed under the name Rhincalanus nasutus. RNAcentral describes it as "partial 16S ribosomal RNA". The record is from RNAcentral. Lineage: Eukaryota; Metazoa; Arthropoda; Copepoda; Calanoida; Eucalanidae.